GUCGGUCAUGUUGGCGCAGGCCUAUAGUCCCAGCUACUCAGGAGGCUGAGGCAGAAGGAUCGCUGGAACCCAGGAGCUCUGGGAUGUUGUGAGCUAUGCUGAUUGCAUCUCCAUACUAAGUUUGGCAUCAAUAUGGUGACCUCCCAGGAGUGGGGGACCACCGUGUUGCCCAAGGAGGGGUGAACACUGCCAGGUUGGAAAUGGAGCAGGUCAAAAGUCCCGUGCUGUGCCGGGCACAGUGGCUCACGCCUGUAAUCCCAGCACUUU
Molecule: signal recognition particle RNA, 267 nt
Filed under: Piliocolobus tephrosceles (Ugandan red Colobus)
Lineage: Eukaryota; Metazoa; Chordata; Mammalia; Primates; Cercopithecidae
Description: Metazoan signal recognition particle RNA (ENSPTEG00000039211.1)
Rfam family: Metazoan signal recognition particle RNA
About the family: The signal recognition particle (SRP) is a universally conserved ribonucleoprotein. It is involved in the co-translational targeting of proteins to membranes.
Source: RNAcentral